GAUGAACGCUGGCGGCGUGCCUAAUACAUGCAAGUCGAACGAGGUGCUUGAGUAGCAAUACAAGAGUAUCCUAGUGGCGAACGGGUGAGUAACGCGUGGGUGACCUGCCCCGAAGUGUGGGAUAACAGUCCGAAAGGAUUGCUAAUACCUCAUGUGGUUAUCGGAUUUAGAAACUGAUAACUAAAGCAGCAAUGCGCUUUGGGAGGGACCUGCGUCCCAUCAGCUAGUUGGUGAGGUAAUGGCUCACCAAGGCUACGACGGGUAGGGGACCUGAGAGGGUGGCCCCCCACAAUGGAACUGAAACACGGUCCAUACACCUACGGGUGGCAGCAGUAGGGAAUAUUGCACAAUGGGCGAAAGCCUGAUGCAGCAACGCCGCGUGUGCGAUGAAGGCCUUCGGUCGUAAGACGACUUUCUUCGUAGAGAUGAG
This 430-nucleotide ribosomal RNA is filed under the name uncultured bacterium. RNAcentral's name for it is "bacterial SSU rRNA". It matches the Rfam family "Bacterial small subunit ribosomal RNA", at positions 28 to 452 of the family's 1533-position model. The record is from RNAcentral.